AGGAGGCCUCUCGGUGGCAUGGCACAGGGGCAGAGUUAGGAGGCACCAGGAUUGGAUAGCCUGCGUCCCGUGCACAGCCUGCGGUUGGGGCGAGGCCUGGCCAGGUUGCUUUUGAACUUGAUCUGUUCGCGCUUUGUAAGCCAUACCCCGCACUGAGGAUUGCCCUGCAUCUGAGAGCAUCAGGUCUCUGAAGUCCAGUGUGGAGGUUAAACUGACAGCACCUCUCAAUUUGGACCGGCCACAUUUCAAGUGCUCAAUGCCACAUUUCCCAUAUGGACUGUACAGAUCUAGAGAGGAACGCAUGAUAAAUGGAAAUGAAGCAAGUGGUGUCUGCUGAUCAGAACAGAAAUCAGGGCCAGGGUGAUGGCAGUGGAUGACGCGGGAGCUUCAGAGGUCCCUUUAGGUGUCGCCUAUUUUAAACAGGCUGCGCCUAGCCCAUGGGACAGGAAGUGGCAUCUCCCUCCAGUUGGGGACUAAUAUGAGAGAAG
Long non-coding RNA from Rhinolophus ferrumequinum (greater horseshoe bat), 488 nucleotides. RefSeq lists it as uncharacterized. The transcript has 4 exons. Lineage: Eukaryota; Metazoa; Chordata; Mammalia; Chiroptera; Rhinolophidae. The record is from RefSeq and is a predicted model, not a curated record.